UACGUAGGGGGCGAGCGUUAUCCGGAUUCAUUGGGCGUAAAGCGCGCGUAGGCGGCGCGCCAAGCGGGACCUCUAACCCCGGGGCUCAACCCCGGGCCGGGUCCCGGACUGGCGCGCUCGAGUGCGGUAGAGGCGAGUGGAAUUCCCGGUGUAGCGGUGGAAUGCGCAGAUAUCGGGAAGAACACCGAUGGCGAAGGCAGCUCGCUGGGCCGCCACUGACGCUGAGGCGCGAAAGCUGGGGGAGCGAA
RNAcentral lists this ribosomal RNA (248 nucleotides) under uncultured Eggerthellaceae bacterium. RNAcentral's name for it is "partial 16S ribosomal RNA". It matches the Rfam family "Bacterial small subunit ribosomal RNA", at positions 524 to 772 of the family's 1533-position model. The record is from RNAcentral. Lineage: Bacteria; Bacillati; Actinomycetota; Coriobacteriia; Eggerthellales; Eggerthellaceae.